RNAcentral lists this ribosomal RNA (484 nucleotides) under uncultured bacterium. RNAcentral's name for it is "partial 16S ribosomal RNA". It matches the Rfam family "Bacterial small subunit ribosomal RNA", at positions 30 to 507 of the family's 1533-position model. The record is from RNAcentral.
AUUGAACGCUGGCGGCAGGCCUAACACAUGCAAGUCGAGCGGAUGAAGGGAGCUUGCUCCUGGAUUCAGCGGCGGACGGGUGAGUAAUGCCUAGGAAUCUGCCUGGUAGUGGGGGAUAACGUCCGGAAACGGGCGCUAAUACCGCAUACGUCCUGAGGGAGAAAGUGGGGGAUCUUCGGACCUCAAGCUAUCAGAUGAGCCUAGGUCGGAUUAGCUAGUUGGUGGGGUAAAGGCCUACCAAGGCGACGAUCCGUAACUGGUCUGAGAGGAUGAUCAGGCACACUGGAACUGAGACACGGUCCAGACUCCUACGGGAGGCAGCAGUGGGGAAUAUUGGACAAUGGGCGAAAGCCUGAUCCAGCCAUGCCGCGUGUGUGAAGAAGGUCUUCGGAGUGUAAAGCACUUUAAGUUGGGAGGAAGGGCAGUAAGUUAAUACCUUGCUGUUUUGACGUUACCAACAGAAUAAGCACCGGCUAACUUCGUG